AUUGAACGCUGGCGGCAGGCCUAACACAUGCAAGUCGAACGAGUGGCGGACGGGUGAGUAAUGUCUGGGAAACUGCCUGAUGGAGGGGGAUAACUACUGGAAACGGUAGCUAAUACCGCAUACCAUCAGAUGUGCCCAGAUGGGAUUAGCUUGUAGGUGGGGUAAAGGCUCACCUAGGCGACGAUCCCUAGCUGGGCUGAGAGGAUGACCGGCCACACUGGAACUGAUACACGGUCCAGACUCCUACGGGAGGCAGCAGUGGGGAAUAUUGCACAAUGGGCGCAAGCCUGAUUCAGCCAUGCCGCGUGUAUGAAGAAGGCCGUCGGGUUGUAAAGUACUUUCAGCGGGGAGGCGUUACCCGCAGAAGAAGCACCGGCUAACUCCGUGCCAGCCGCCGCGGUAAUAC
Molecule: ribosomal RNA, 406 nt
Filed under: uncultured bacterium
Lineage: Bacteria
Description: partial 16S ribosomal RNA
Rfam family: Bacterial small subunit ribosomal RNA
Source: RNAcentral